AAUCAACGCUGGCGGCGUGCCUAACACAUGCAAGUCGAACGCGAAAGCCCCGCAAGGGGUAAGUAGAGUGGCAAACGGGUGAGUAACACGUGGGUGACCUGCCUUCGAGUGGGGGAUAACGUCCCGAAAGGGACGCUAAUACCGCAUGACAUCCUGCUUUUUAAGAGGUGGAGAUCAAAGCCGGGGAUCGCAAGACCUGGCGCUUGAAGAGGGGCCCGCGCCUGAUUAGCUAGUUGGUGGGGAAUGGCUCACCAAGGCAACGAUCAGUAUCCGGCCUGAGAGGGCGGACGGACACACUGGGACUGAGACACGGCCCAGACUCCUACGGGAGGCAGCAGUGGGGAAUUGUUCGCAAUGGGCGCAAGCCUGACGACGCAACGCCGCGUGGAGGAUGAAGGUGCUCUGCAUUGUAAAACCUCUGUAGUCGAAGACAAAAACGGGUUAACUACCCGU
Molecule: ribosomal RNA, 453 nt
Filed under: uncultured bacterium
Lineage: Bacteria
Description: bacterial SSU rRNA
Rfam family: Bacterial small subunit ribosomal RNA
Source: RNAcentral